This is a non-coding RNA of Caranx melampygus (bluefin trevally), 72 nucleotides long. The record is from the annotation of a GenBank genome assembly. NCBI's taxonomy places the organism in Eukaryota, Metazoa, Chordata, Actinopteri, Carangiformes, Carangidae.
UGCUGGAUAAGUCAGUGGGAAAAAGCACUGACUCUGGAUUGGGAGGCUGGGGUUCAAAACCCAGUCUGGCCU